CACACCCUUCCUCUCUUCUCUCAACAAACGAAAAACCCUAGCGCCGACCCCUUUAUUUUUUCUCUCUCCUCGCAUCGUCACACAUGCCGGAAAUGGCAAUAUUCACGGACCCACGAAGCGUUUACAGCCUUGGUAUGGCUCGUUGGGGCAAAGUAAUUAAUGCUCCACCCCUUUUCUGCCAAAACUCAACUAAACAGGUAUUUGUUUGCAUUUUCUUCUUACUUUUCUGCAAAUCAAUGGGCAAAAUAGUACCAAACCUUAAUGGUUCUUGUCUUGUUUCGUUUUUGAAUUGCGAAUUCUCAUUGGUUCACACGGAACCGAAUGGAUUGAUCCAACUUGGGACAAAUUUGACCCUUCAUACCUUUGUUGGCUUAUAUCUUAGCCAUUGAUUGACGAAUUAAGGGAUUUGUUCCAAAAAAAUUGGCCAGUCCCACAUCAAGUUGGGAUUAGGGUUUCUCAAUUUUAGGGUUGGAAUCCCAAUUCACAGUUUGCUAUGACCGAAUAUCUGAUAUUCACACAAAAACUCGAAAUACCUAGGGUCUUAGCAAUUUGCUUGAGACCUUUAAUUUUUCGAGUUAAGUUUAAGUUUUAAAAGUUUAGUUUUUGUUUUCUGGGUGUGUGGCUGAGCAAUUUGAGUGGAGGAGCAAGGAUCUCAAGUCCAUUCUCGACCAUUGGCUGCGCCUAAGAAAGGUGUAGUGCCAACUCUUUACAAACUCUGUCUACUAGAUAGUGUCCCUUCUGAAAUGUCAUUUGAUUCAUUUCCCUCCACAUAACAUAUACCACCAUUGCAAAGGAGCAACAUACACUAGGACCCUGGCCAGAUUUCUUCCUUGCCCAGCUUGCAACCCAUUAUACUUCUGUAUUCCAGGCACCAACUGUCCUCUGAAAACCUUGCCACAGCAGGACCUUUUGCCAAACAGUCCUAACAACAGCACAAUCAAAGAAUAUAUGGGAAAAGGUCUCAGUAGCCACACCACAGAAGACACAGAGAGGGUCUAUAUGUACAUAAAUACUAAAUUUCAUUAGUCUAUCCACAGUUGCCAAUCUUCUCAUCAGUGCAAGCCACACAACAAAUUUGUGCCUUGGAUGCACAUUAGGGUGCAAAGUAAUAUUGUUCCAAGGAACUCUUGGACACUGAGGGAGUAGUGCUACAUAUAUCUUUUUGGCAGAGAAUUUCCCAUCAGUGAUGACAGCCUCCAACCUCUCCUGAAGAGCACCUUGAAGAGCAGGUGCAGCUAGUACAAAUUCAGCUCUGUAUAUCAUUGGUGUAUAAACACUUGUAUAUCUAGUAUAGGUAUGGUAUAUCACUUAUGUGGAUUUGGAAUUGCUGUUUUGUCUUAUAAGUAGUAUAUAUUUGGGCCUGUUUCUUUGUGGUUCAUGACUAUGUUGGGCUUUUUUCUUGUAUUCAUUGUGAGUUAGGAUCUUUUCCUUUACCUGGGCUGCAUCUUUCAUCAUCCUAUUUCAAAUUGGGCUUGUGGUUAUAAUUUGGGCUGGUUGUUUUCUCUAUGUAUGCCAACUGCUUAAGGAUAUUGUUAUGCAUGCUUCGUAUAUACUUGGUAUACUUGUGUAGUUCAAUUUAUAUUAGAUGAAUGAACAAGUCCUAGAUA
Lycium ferocissimum is the source of this 1607-nucleotide long non-coding RNA. RefSeq lists it as uncharacterized. The transcript has 2 exons. The record is from RefSeq and is a predicted model, not a curated record. NCBI's taxonomy places the organism in Eukaryota, Viridiplantae, Streptophyta, Magnoliopsida, Solanales, Solanaceae.